This 619-nucleotide ribosomal RNA is filed under the name Salmonella enterica. Its description in RNAcentral is "partial 23S ribosomal RNA". It matches the Rfam family "Bacterial large subunit ribosomal RNA", at positions 1200 to 1733 of the family's 2925-position model. The record is from RNAcentral. Lineage: Bacteria; Pseudomonadati; Pseudomonadota; Gammaproteobacteria; Enterobacterales; Enterobacteriaceae.
CUGCGGCAGCGAACGUAUCACCCAAGACAACUUUGCACAGUUGACGAUUGACGGAGCGAAGCGACGUCAAAGCGUUUUACAACGUCGAGUUGGCUUAGGGAUACGUUCGUUGGGUAGGGGAGCGUUCUGUAAGCCGUUGAAGGUGGCCUGUGAGGGUUGCUGGAGGUAUCAGAAGUGCGAAUGCUGACAUAAGUAACGAUAAAGCGGGUGAAAAGCCCGCUCGCCGGAAGACCAAGGGUUCCUGUCCAACGUUAAUCGGGGCAGGGUGAGUCGACCCCUAAGGCGAGGCCGAAAGGCGUAGUCGAUGGGAAACGGGUUAAUAUUCCCGUACUUGGUGUUACUGCGAAGGGGGGACGGAGAAGGCUAUGUUGGCCGGGCGACGGUUGUCCCGGUUUAAGCGUGUAGGUGUGUGUUCCAGGUAAAUCCGGUUCACUUUAACACUGAGGCGUGACGACGAGGCACUACGGUGCUGAAGCAACAAAUGCCCUGCUUCCAGGAAAAGCCUCUAAGCCUCAGGUAACAUCAAAUCGUACCCCAAACCGACACAGGUGGUCAGGUAGAGAAUACCAAGGCGCUUGAGAGAACUCGGGUGAAGGAACUAGGCAAAAUGGUGCCGUAA